Molecule: ribosomal RNA, 497 nt
Filed under: uncultured bacterium
Lineage: Bacteria
Description: partial 16S ribosomal RNA
Rfam family: Bacterial small subunit ribosomal RNA
Source: RNAcentral
GAUGAACGCUGGCGGCGUGCCUAAUACAUGCAAGUCGAGCGAACAGACGAGGAGCUUGCUCCUCUGACGUUAGCGGCGGACGGGUGAGUAACACGUGGAUAACCUACCUAUAAGACUGGGAUAACUUCGGGAAACCGGAGCUAAUACCGGAUAAUAUAUUGAACCGGAUGGUUCAAUAGUGAAAGACGGUUUUGCUGUCACUAAUAGAUGGAUCCGCGCCGCAUUAGCUAGUUGGUAAGGUAACGGCUUACCAAGGCGACGAUGCGUAGCCGACCUGAGAGGAUGAUCGGCCACACUGGAACUGAGACACGGUCCAGACUCCUACGGGAGGCAGCAGUAGGGAAUCUUCCGCAAUGGGCGAAAGCCUGACGGAGCAACGCCGCGUGAGUGAUGAAGGUCUUCGGAUCGUAAAACUCUGUUAUUAGGGAAGAACAAAUGUGUAAGUAACUAUGCACGUCUUGACGGUACCUAAACAGAAAGCCACGGCUAACUACGUG